GAUACCUAGUGUGAAUUGCAGAAUUCCGCGAAUCAUCGAGUUUUUGAACGCAUAUUGCGCCCGAGGUUCACGCCGAGGGCACGUCUGUCUGAGCGUCA
This 98-nucleotide ribosomal RNA is filed under the name Riccia billardierei. RNAcentral describes it as "partial 5.8S ribosomal RNA". It matches the Rfam family "5.8S ribosomal RNA", at positions 57 to 154 of the family's 154-position model. Rfam says of the family: 5.8S ribosomal RNA (5.8S rRNA) is a component of the large subunit of the eukaryotic ribosome. It is transcribed by RNA polymerase I as part of the 45S precursor that also contains 18S and 28S rRNA. Lineage: Eukaryota; Viridiplantae; Streptophyta; Marchantiopsida; Marchantiales; Ricciaceae. The record is from RNAcentral.